Molecule: ribosomal RNA, 484 nt
Filed under: uncultured bacterium
Lineage: Bacteria
Description: partial 16S ribosomal RNA
Rfam family: Bacterial small subunit ribosomal RNA
Source: RNAcentral
AACGAACGCUGGCGGCGUGCUUAACACAUGCAAGUCGAACGAUGAAGCUGGAUCUUGCUCUGCCCGAUUACCGGCGAACGGGUGAGUUACACGUGAGCACGCUGCCCUGGACUCUGGGAUAAGCGUUGGACACGACGUCUAGUACCCGCUACGAGACACCACGGCACCUUCAGCCUCUGUCAAACACUACGGUCCAGGAUGAGCCCGCGCCCUAUCAGGUUGUUGGGGAGGUAAUGGCCCACCAAGCCUACGACCGGUAGCCGGCCUGAGAGGGUGACAGGCCAAACUGGGACUGAGACAAGGCCCAGACUCCUACGGGAGGGAGCAGUGGGGAAUAUUGCACAAUGGGCGCAAGCCUGAUGCAGCAACGCCGCGUGAGGGACGACGGCAUUCGGGUUGUAAACCUCUUUUAGCAGGGAAGAAGCGAAAGUGACGGUACCUGCAGAAAAAGCACCGGCUAACUACGUGCCAGCCGCCGCGGUAA